CCACCGCUUUAAACGAUCGCGCUGUACGGGGUGACCCGUACUGUGAGGAAAGUCCGGGCUCCGCAGAGCAGGAUAACAGAUAACGUCUGCCGAAGGUGACUUCAGGGCCAGUGCAACAGAAAGAUACCGCCGCGUUUUUCGCGGUAAGGAUGGAAAGGCGAGGUAAGAGCUCACCGGCGUGCGGGAGACCGUACGGCCAUGUAAACCCUAUCCGGAGCAACACCCACCGAAGCGUUUUAAGCUUGCUCGGCAGCUUCACGGGUGGCAAAGAGGCGUGCGGCGACGUACGUCCAAGAUAGAUGAUCGUUCACGACAGAACCCGGCUUACAGAGGCGAUGGA
Molecule: RNase P RNA, 340 nt
Filed under: Clostridia bacterium
Lineage: Bacteria; Bacillati; Bacillota; Clostridia
Description: partial RNase P RNA component class A
Rfam family: Bacterial RNase P class A
About the family: Ribonuclease P (RNase P) is a ubiquitous endoribonuclease, found in archaea, bacteria and eukarya as well as chloroplasts and mitochondria. Its best characterised activity is the generation of mature 5'-ends of tRNAs by cleaving the 5'-leader elements of precursor-tRNAs.
Source: RNAcentral